RNAcentral lists this ribosomal RNA (381 nucleotides) under uncultured bacterium. RNAcentral's name for it is "bacterial SSU rRNA". It matches the Rfam family "Bacterial small subunit ribosomal RNA", at positions 29 to 400 of the family's 1533-position model. The record is from RNAcentral.
AACGAACGCUGGCGGCGCGCCUAACACAUGCAAGUCGAACGAGAAGGCGUAGCAAUAUGCUUGUAGAGUGGCGAACGGGUGAGUAAUACGUGGGUGACCUACCCUCGAGUGGGGAAUAACCCGCCGAAAGGCGGGCUAAUGCCGCGUACGCUUCCGUCCUCACGGGGACGGAAGGAAAGCUGUACCGUGGGUACGGCGCUCAAGGAUGGGCUCACGUCCUAUCAGCUUGUUGGUAGGGUAACGGCCUACCAAGGCUACGACGGGUAGCUGGUCUGAGAGGACGAUCAGCCACACUGGCACUGCGACACGGGCCAGACUCCUACGGGAGGCAGCAGUGAGGAAUAUUGCGCAAUGGGCGAAAGCCUGACGCAGCGACGCCGC